GGUCUAUUAGCUCUGUCGGUAGAGCACCUGACUUUUAAUCAGGGUGUCCCGCGUUCGAGUCGCGGAUAGAUCACCA
Molecule: transfer RNA, 76 nt
Filed under: Clostridioides difficile DA00232
Lineage: Bacteria; Bacillati; Bacillota; Clostridia; Peptostreptococcales; Peptostreptococcaceae
Description: tRNA-Lys
Rfam family: tRNA
About the family: Transfer RNA (tRNA) molecules are approximately 80 nucleotides in length. Their secondary structure includes four short double-helical elements and three loops (D, anti-codon, and T loops). Further hydrogen bonds mediate the characteristic L-shaped molecular structure. tRNAs have two regions of fundamental functional importance: the anti-codon, which is responsible for specific mRNA codon recognition, and the 3' end, to which the tRNAs corresponding amino acid is attached (by aminoacyl-tRNA synthetases). tRNAs cope with the degeneracy of the genetic code in two manners: having more than one tRNA (with a specific anti-codon) for a particular amino acid; and 'wobble' base-pairing, i.e. permitting non-standard base-pairing at the 3rd anti-codon position.
Source: RNAcentral